RNAcentral lists this ribosomal RNA (492 nucleotides) under uncultured bacterium. RNAcentral's name for it is "partial 16S ribosomal RNA". It matches the Rfam family "Bacterial small subunit ribosomal RNA", at positions 29 to 507 of the family's 1533-position model. The record is from RNAcentral.
AGUGAACGCUGGCGGUAGGCCUAACACAUGCAAGUCGAACGGCAGCACAGUAAGAGCUUGCUCUUGCGGGUGGCGAGUGGCGGACGGGUGAGGAAUACAUCGGAAUCUACUUUUUCGUGGGGGAUAACGUAGGGAAACUUACGCUAAUACCGCAUACGACCUACGGGUGAAAGCAGGGGAUCUUCGGACCUUGCGCGAUUGAAUGAGCCGAUGUCGGAUUAGCUAGUUGGCGGGGUAAAGGCCCACCAAGGCGACGAUCCGUAGCUGGUCUGAGAGGAUGAGCAGCGACACUGGAACUGAGACACGGUCCAGACCCCUACGGGAGGCAGCAGUGGGGAAUAUUGGACAAUGGGCGCAAGCCUGAUCCAGCCAUACCGCGUGGGUGAAGAAGGCAUUGGGGUUGUAUAGCCCUUUUGUUGGGAAAGAAAAGCAGCAGGUUAAUACCCCGCUGUUCUGACGGUACCCAAAGAAUAAGCACCGGCUAACUUCGUG